GGAGAGUUGGCCGAGUGGUUUAUGGCGCUCGCCUCGAAAGCGAGUGGGUGAAAACCCGCAUAGGUUCGAAUCCUAUACUCUCCGCCA
This 87-nucleotide transfer RNA is filed under the name Patescibacteria group bacterium. Its description in RNAcentral is "tRNA-Ser". It matches the Rfam family "tRNA". Rfam says of the family: Transfer RNA (tRNA) molecules are approximately 80 nucleotides in length. Their secondary structure includes four short double-helical elements and three loops (D, anti-codon, and T loops). Further hydrogen bonds mediate the characteristic L-shaped molecular structure. tRNAs have two regions of fundamental functional importance: the anti-codon, which is responsible for specific mRNA codon recognition, and the 3' end, to which the tRNAs corresponding amino acid is attached (by aminoacyl-tRNA synthetases). tRNAs cope with the degeneracy of the genetic code in two manners: having more than one tRNA (with a specific anti-codon) for a particular amino acid; and 'wobble' base-pairing, i.e. permitting non-standard base-pairing at the 3rd anti-codon position. The record is from RNAcentral. RNAcentral also lists the same sequence under 1 other name.